Molecule: ribosomal RNA, 253 nt
Filed under: uncultured bacterium
Lineage: Bacteria
Description: partial 16S ribosomal RNA
Rfam family: Bacterial small subunit ribosomal RNA
Source: RNAcentral
UACGUAGGGACCAAGCGUUGUUCGGAUUUACUGGGCGUAAAGGGCGCGUAGGCGGCAUGACAAGUCACUUGUGAAAUCUCCGGGCUUAACUCGGAACGGCCAAGUGAAACUGUCAAGCUAGAGUGCAGAAGGGGCAAUCGGAAUUCUUGGUGUAGCGGUGAAAUGCGUAGAUAUCAAGAGGAACACCUGAGGUGAAGACGGGUUGCUGGGCUGACACUGACGCUGAGGCGCGAAAGCCAGGGGAGCAAACGGG